Molecule: ribosomal RNA, 1272 nt
Filed under: Triticum aestivum (bread wheat)
Lineage: Eukaryota; Viridiplantae; Streptophyta; Magnoliopsida; Poales; Poaceae
Description: partial small subunit ribosomal RNA
Source: RNAcentral
AUGUCCGACUUUGACCUUCGAGGCCGAUGGACGCCUUCCUUCGUCAUGGAGGAAGACGUGCUAAAGCUGAGAGAGGCCAGGUUUUCGACCGGCGAAAUCUCGCAUAGGCUGCCUGCUCACGGGCAGGUUAUUCCUACUCCCAAGCAUGGUGAGAGCGUGGUGUUCAUGUCUCAUUUCCUCCGAGGGCUAGGCUUCGCGACGGAUCCCAUCGUGAGGGGGGUCAUGUUUUAUUAUGGGCUGGAAUUUCACGACUUAGCUCCAGAGUCCAUCCUCCACAUCUCAUCGUUCAUUGUCGUGUGCGAAGCCUUCCUCCGUAUUACUCCUCACUUCGGACUGUGGCUUAAGACUUUUAAAGUAGAGCCGAAGAUGAUAGAGGGACAGCACGCGGAGUGCGGAGGCGCUAUUAUAAGCAAGAAUGCUGACGCUCCAUGGCCCGAGGGCUCUUUUCAAGAGGAGUUCAGCUUAUGGCAACAAGAGUGGUUUUAUAUCACAGCUCCCAGGGGCACCAAGUCGGUGGCGCCGCCUACUUUCCGCUCGGGUCCCCCUCCACAACUGGCGUCAUGGGUCAAUAAGGGGCUGGACUGGGGGUCGGCAAAGGACGUGCCCCUGUUGCAGGGCCGCAUCCGAGAUCUCCUAGAAAGAGACAUCAGUCUGGUCAUGGUGACGCAGAUUAUGUUAAUUCGCCGAGUUCUGCCCAAACGUCGCCCCCUCCGCCUGUGGGAGUUCAACCCGGAGGGACCACGAGCUCUCCAACAUUUUCUUGGCAUGACACCCGAGGAGAUGUACAAAUUGUUCUUCGGACCACAAGUAGUGUGUCCGAAUUCUACGGAGGACGCAGGUUUGAGCUGCAAUCGUCCGGAUACUCAAGUAAGUAGCCCUGUGCCUGGACACACCAUCCGUUCAUUUAUCACAACAUCACCCUUAAAAGAGUUGUCUUUGAAACAGGAGUGGGUAGCGAAGGCGAAGUUAAUCAGGUGUCCGGUCCCCCUUCCCAAGACCUUGUCAGAUCCCGUGCUAACCAGGAUGCUGGAGAUCGUGCCUUCGAAAGAAAGCGAAGGGGAGGACAAAGAAGUUGCUGCCUCCCCGAAGGAGGCUGUCUGGAAAGGAGGAAUCGAAAAUUCCUCUACUCAGGGGAGGAAGAGGACUGCCUCUGAAGACCCGGAGUCCAUGGUCUCAAAGCGGGGGAAGAAAUCUUUGCCAGAGGGUCCUGUGUCGGGGGAUACCUCGGCCGUACUAUGCCCUCAAGGGGAUCAGCCCUUCACCGAGCCGUAA